This 820-nucleotide ribosomal RNA is filed under the name uncultured bacterium. RNAcentral's name for it is "bacterial SSU rRNA". It matches the Rfam family "Bacterial small subunit ribosomal RNA", at positions 49 to 851 of the family's 1533-position model. The record is from RNAcentral.
UAAUACGUGCCAGUAGAACGCUUUUUAGAGGAGCUUGCUCUUCUUGGAUGAGUUGCGAACGGGUGAGUAACGCGUAGGUAACCUGCCUUGUAGCGGGGGAUAACUAUUGGAAACGAUAGCUAAUACCGCAUAACAAUGGAUGACUCAUGUCAUUUAUUUGAAAGGGGCAAAUGCUCCACUACAAGAUGGACCUGCGUUGUAUUAGCUAGUAGGUGAGGUAACGGCUCACCUAGGCGACGAUACAUAGCCGACCUGAGAGGGUGAUCGACCACACUGGGACUGAGACACGGCCCAGACUCCUACGGGAGGCAGCAGUAGGGAAUCUUCGGCAAUGGGGGCAACCCUGACCGAGCAACGCCGCGUGAGUGAAGAAGGUUUUCGGAUCGUAAAGCUCUGUUGUAAGUCAAGAACGAGUGUGAGAGUGGAAAGUUCACACUGUGACGGUAGCUUACCAGAAAGGGACGGCUAACUACGUGCCAGCAGCUGCGGUAAUACGUAGGUCCCGAGCGUUGUCCGGAUUUAUUGGGCGUAAAGCGAGCGCAGGCGGUUUGAUAAGUCUGAAGUUAAAGGCUGUGGCUCAACCAUAGUUCGCUUUGGAAACUGUCAAACUUGAGUGCAGAAGGGGAGAGUGGAAUUCCAUGUGUAGCGGUGAAAUGCGUAGAUAUAUGGAGGAACACCGGUGGCGAAAGCGGCUCUCUGGUCUGUAACUGACGCUGAGGCUCGAAAGCGUGGGGAGCGAACAGGAUUAGAUACCCUGGUAGUCCACGCCGUAAACGAUGAGUGCUAGGUGUUGGAUCCUUUCCGGGAUUCAGUGCCGCAG